UAGAGUUUGAUCCUGGCUCAGGACAAACGCUGGCGGCGUGCCUAAAACAUGCAAGUCGUACGGUCCUUCGGGACAGUGGCGAACGGCUGAGUAACACGUGGGUAACCUACCCUCGAGUGGGGGAUAACCCUCCGAAAGGAGGGCUAAUACCGCGUACGUUCACCCGAUCACGGUUGGGUGAGGAAAGCAGUAAUGCGCUCGAGGAUGGGCCUGCGGCCCAUUAGCUUGUUGGUGGGGUAACGGCCUACCAAGGCAACGAUGGGUAGCUGGUCUGAGAGGACGAUCAGCCACACUGGGACUGAGACACGGCCCAGACUCCUACGGGAGGCAGCAGUGGGGAAUCUUGCGCAAUGCGCGAAAGCGUGACGCAGCAACGCCGCGUGGGGGAAGACGGCCUUCGGGUUGUAAACCCCUUUCAGGAGGGACGAAGGUUCACCGGUGAAUAGCCGUGUGGAUUGACGGUACCUCCACAAGAAGCUCCGGCUAACUACGUGCCAGCAGCCGCGGUAA
RNAcentral lists this ribosomal RNA (510 nucleotides) under uncultured bacterium. Its description in RNAcentral is "bacterial SSU rRNA". It matches the Rfam family "Bacterial small subunit ribosomal RNA", at positions 1 to 523 of the family's 1533-position model. The record is from RNAcentral.